This 532-nucleotide ribosomal RNA is filed under the name Paroxyonyx fallaciosus. RNAcentral's name for it is "partial 16S ribosomal RNA". It matches the Rfam family "Bacterial large subunit ribosomal RNA", at positions 1809 to 2611 of the family's 2925-position model. The record is from RNAcentral. Lineage: Eukaryota; Metazoa; Arthropoda; Insecta; Coleoptera; Curculionidae.
AAAAACAUGGCUUUUUGAUAAUAAUUUUAAGUCAGGCCUGCCCUAUGAAUUUUUUUAAAUGGCCGCAGUAUCUUAACUGUGCAAAGGUAGCAUAAUCACUAGUUUUUUAAUUGAAAGCUUGUAUGAAGGGUACGAUGAGAAAAUAGCUGUCUCUAUAAAAAUUUUAUUGAAUUUUAUUUUUAAGUAAAAAAGCUUAAAUUUAAAUAAAAGACGAGAAGACCCUUUAGAGUUUUAUAUUUAUAAGUAAUAAACCUUUUAGUAUUAAAAAUUUUAUUUUUUUUAUAAUAUUUGAUUGGGGUGAUUAGAAAAUUAAUAAAACUUUUCUUUUAAAGUUACAUUGAUUUAUGAAAAAUUGAUCCUUAAAUAAAGAUUAAAAGAUAAAAUUACCUUAGGGAUAACAGCGUAAUUUUUUUUGAGAGUUCUAAUCGAAAAAAAAGAUUGCGACCUCGAUGUUGGAUUAAAAUAAAUUUUUGGUGUAGCCGCUAAAAUAAUUAGGUCUGUUCGACCUUUAAAAUUUUACUUGAUCUGAGUU